This 305-nucleotide ribosomal RNA is filed under the name uncultured bacterium. Its description in RNAcentral is "bacterial SSU rRNA". It matches the Rfam family "Bacterial small subunit ribosomal RNA", at positions 334 to 637 of the family's 1533-position model. The record is from RNAcentral.
GAAGCCUACGGGGGGCAGCAGUGAGGAAUAUUGGUCAAUGGUCGGGAGACUGAACCAGCCAAGCCGCGUGAGGGAUGAAGGUACAGAGUAUCGUAAACCUCUUUUGUCAGGGAACAAAGGCGGGGACGUGUCCCCGGAUGAGUGUACCUGAAGAAAAAGCAUCGGCUAACUCCGUGCCAGCAGCCGCGGUAAUACGGAGGAUGCGAGCGUUAUCCGGAUUUAUUGGGUUUAAAGGGUGCGCAGGCGGGCUGUUAAGGCAGCGGGCAAAGCCCGGGGCUCAACCCCGGGCCGCCGUUGAAACUGGG